GGAAUAUCCUACUCGAAACGGGAUUAGAUUUACGUUUUCAUACAUCAUACCCGAGUCCCGUCCCCCUGGAAAUCGUCUGAAAUGGCAAAUAUAUCACGAUGAAAUCUCGCGUAUACCUGCUACACUCGUUUCACGUAAAACGCCGUUAUAACGUUAGGGGAGGCGGGGAGGAGAAAUGAAUCAACGCAUUUUAGCAUUACGGCGGUCCGUGAAUUUCGUAUGAUAUUUCCGCGUUUUUUUUCAUUUUAUACUAACGUUUCUGCGCGUAAUUUUCACCGAUCGCAGAGUCCGCAUGGUAUAACUAUGGUUAAUUGUACAUUUUAAAUGCAACAAAAUACAAAAACCACAGCCGAUUAUAAUUUCCAACAUUAUAACAACAUGGGAAUCGUUUAUACGUCUUAAAGCUUAUAAUGGCUUGAACUUUAAAUGAAUGUACAAACUAUUUUAAUUUUCGAACGGUAACCCCCCAUUUUUCCGACACGGAUUGGAAAAAAUUAAUAAUUGUACGAAAAUUUUGAAAUUUCGAUUACGGGGGUAAAAUAUCUAACUGAAUUGGGAUUGUGCUACUUAGGAACUAAUUAAACGGCAAUCAUAUAUUAUUAUAGCGAACGGGUAGGUUUCGUUUUAAACAAGACAAACGUAUACGUUCAAGUUUUAUUUGUGUACAUUUUAACCAUCGGUACCCGCGCGUUUUUAAUUUUCCUAACGAAAAAGUAAAGAUAUUUGAAUUU
This is a non-coding RNA of Cinara cedri, 731 nucleotides long. Lineage: Eukaryota; Metazoa; Arthropoda; Insecta; Hemiptera; Aphididae. The record is from the annotation of a GenBank genome assembly.